Molecule: transfer RNA, 71 nt
Filed under: Genlisea aurea
Lineage: Eukaryota; Viridiplantae; Streptophyta; Magnoliopsida; Lamiales; Lentibulariaceae
Rfam family: tRNA
About the family: Transfer RNA (tRNA) molecules are approximately 80 nucleotides in length. Their secondary structure includes four short double-helical elements and three loops (D, anti-codon, and T loops).
Source: Rfam by way of RNAcentral
UUUCUUAUAGUUUAAUGGUAAAACGCGCAUUUGAUAAGUGUGUGAUGAUAGUUCGAUUCUAUCUAAGAAAA